Molecule: small nuclear RNA, 107 nt
Organism: Pipistrellus kuhlii (Kuhl's pipistrelle)
Lineage: Eukaryota; Metazoa; Chordata; Mammalia; Chiroptera; Vespertilionidae
Source: RefSeq, a predicted model, not a curated record
GUGCUCACUUCAGCAGCAUAUAUACUGAAAUUGGGAUGAUACAGAGAAAAUUAGCAUGGCCCCUGCACAGGGAUGACCUACAAAUUCAUGAAGCAUUCCAUAUUUGG